RNAcentral lists this ribosomal RNA (305 nucleotides) under uncultured bacterium. RNAcentral describes it as "partial 16S ribosomal RNA". It matches the Rfam family "Bacterial small subunit ribosomal RNA", at positions 505 to 807 of the family's 1533-position model. The record is from RNAcentral.
ACAGCAGCAGCCGCGGUAAUACGUAGGUGGCAAGCGUUGUCCGGAAUUAUUGGGCGUAAAGGGCUCGCAGGCGGUUUCUUAAGUCUGAUGUGAAAGCCCCCGGCUCAACCGGGGAGGGUCAUUGGAAACUGGGAAACUUGAGUGCAGAAGAGGAGAGUGGAAUUCCACGUGUAGCGGUGAAAUGCGUAGAGAUGUGGAGGAACACCAGUGGCGAAGGCGACUCUCUGGUCUGUAACUGACGCUGAGGAGCGAAAGCGUGGGGAGCGAACAGGAUUAGAUACCCCAGUAGUCCCUGUCUCUUAUAC